Molecule: unclassified non-coding RNA, 418 nt
Filed under: Hevea brasiliensis (rubber tree)
Lineage: Eukaryota; Viridiplantae; Streptophyta; Magnoliopsida; Malpighiales; Euphorbiaceae
Source: RNAcentral
CAAAUAAAUGUUAGCAAGGAUGGGAAUCUCCUGCAGGCUAAGAAUUUGUUUUUCACAAUUUUGUAUAGAAUACUAAUUCUUCUCAAGUUGUGGGUUGGAAUUGUUUGUGUAGUUUUAUUUGGAGGAGCUAUGGUUGGGUAAAUGUGAUCAUCAAUUGAAUAGGUUGCUGAUGUGCUCUGAGGUAGCAAGAAUAUUCAUUGAUAUGACCUUUUUUUUUUUGUGGUUUUCUGCUCAUUUUCCAUUAGAUUAUGGCAAAAAUAAGCACUUUUUUUUAUCAUUUUGCCAAUAAGAGAUGUAUUGCCCAGCCCUUAGAUAUAUGAAUGCGAUUAAAAAUUUUAUGCCUUGUUGCGCUGGCAACAUGUUUUUGUGAUGAUGCACCUUAGAUUGAAAGGAAAAAUAAAGCUUUUUUUGACUUGGA